GACGAACGCUGGCGGCGUGCUUAACACAUGCAAGUCGAACGGAAAGGCCCCUUUUGGGGUACUCGAGUUGCGAACGGGUGAGUAACACGUUAGUAACCUGCCCUUUACUUCGGGAUAACUUCAGGAAACUGGGGCUAAUACCGGAUAGGAAUCCUUGCUGCAUGGUGGGGGUUGGAAAGCUUCGGCGGUUUUGGAUGGACUCGCGGCUUAUCAGCUUGUUGGUGGGGUAGUGGCUUACCAAGGCUUUGACGGGUAGCCGGCCUGAGAGGGCGACCGGCCACAUUGGGACUGAGAUACGGCCCAGACUCCUACGGGAGGCAGCAGUGGGGAAUAUUGCACAAUGGGCGGAAGCCUGAUGCAGCAACGCCGCGUGCGGGAUGACGGCCUUCGGGUUGGAAACCGCUUUCAGCAGGGGCGAAGCUUGUGGUGACGGUACCUGCAGAAGAAGCACCGGCUAACUACGUG
Molecule: ribosomal RNA, 465 nt
Filed under: uncultured bacterium
Lineage: Bacteria
Description: partial 16S ribosomal RNA
Rfam family: Bacterial small subunit ribosomal RNA
Source: RNAcentral